RNAcentral lists this ribosomal RNA (712 nucleotides) under Bacillus sp. Bac17D1. Its description in RNAcentral is "bacterial SSU rRNA". It matches the Rfam family "Bacterial small subunit ribosomal RNA", at positions 36 to 741 of the family's 1533-position model. Lineage: Bacteria; Bacillati; Bacillota; Bacilli; Caryophanales; Bacillaceae. The record is from RNAcentral. RNAcentral also lists the same sequence under 1 other name.
CUGGCGGCGUGCCUAUAUGCAAGUCCAGCGGACAGAUGGGUAGCUUGCUCCCUGAUGUUAGCGGCGGACGGGUGAGUAACACGUGGGUAACCUGCCUGUAAGACUGGGAUAACUCCGGGAAACCGGGGCUAAUACCGGAUGGUUGUUUGAACCGCAUGGUUCAGACAUAAAAGGUGGCUUCGGCUACCACUUACAGAUGGACCCGCGGCGCAUUAGCUAGUUGGUGAGGUAACGGCUCACCAAGGCGACGAUGCGUAGCCGACCUGAGAGGGUGAUCGGCCACACUGGGACUGAGACACGGCCCAGACUCCUACGGGAGGCAGCAGUAGGGAAUCUUCCGCAAUGGACGAAAGUCUGACGGAGCAACGCCGCGUGAGUGAUGAAGGUUUUCGGAUCGUAAAGCUCUGUUGUUAGGGAAGAACAAGUGCCGUUCAAAUAGGGCGGCACCUUGACGGUACCUAACCAGAAAGCCACGGCUAACUACGUGCCAGCAGCCGCGGUAAUACGUAGGUGGCAAGCGUUGUCCGGAAUUAUUGGGCGUAAAGGGCUCGCACGCGGUUUCUUAAUUCUGAUGUGAAAGCCCCCGGCUCAACCGGGGAGGGUCAUUGAAACUGGGGAACUUGAAUGCAAAAGGAGGAAAUGCCUUCCCCUUGUACGUGAAUUCUAAGGUGUGAAGAACCCCUUGGCCAAGGCCACCCCCGGGUUUUUAACU